AAGAGCUAGAGGAGGAAGCCUAUCAGCAUGGAGCACCGGGGCUGGCCUUAGUUGGGAAGGAAGGGGUAAGUUCCUAGCAGAGAAGCCUGUGGCUCCUGCCUGGGAAGCCCAUGUGUCCUUCCUCAGCUGCUGUGGAGCAAACAGGACAGUGGCAUCAGGGGUCAUCUAGGGGUCACUCAUGGAGAUUUGUGGAAAUUGUUUCUAUCCAAGAAUGCAGGCCACUAAAAUUAGUAUGCGAAUUGCUGACUGGCUCAGCACGCCACAGACCCUUGCCUACAGCGUCCACGUGGUCGCCCCGAGUACAGGAAAGCACACAGAGUGGACCGCUAGGGAAACCCGAGACCUCCCGAAGGCGUACCACCUCAGCUCUACGGUUCGACACGGUUCGACACACUUGGCGCCGAACACUUUGAACUUUGAUCCAAAGUUCGGUCAACUACCCCCACGCAAAAUGGCGAAACAGUUUGAACACACACUGAAUGGUCCAACAGGGUCUCAACCACCAACCCACUCCCCUCCGACCCCAGCGCCAGAGAGGGCUACCGCUGAGGCACCGUGA
Molecule: long non-coding RNA, 559 nt
Filed under: Cricetulus griseus (Chinese hamster)
Lineage: Eukaryota; Metazoa; Chordata; Mammalia; Rodentia; Cricetidae
Description: lncRNA (ENSCGRG00000024463.1)
Source: RNAcentral